Molecule: long non-coding RNA, 540 nt
Filed under: Phoenix dactylifera (date palm)
Lineage: Eukaryota; Viridiplantae; Streptophyta; Magnoliopsida; Arecales; Arecaceae
Description: long non-coding RNA (PDAC_LNC022167)
Source: RNAcentral
GAAACAGAUCUUGGUAAGACUAGCCCUAGGUUGGUUAGUUGUAUGUGCAGUUGCUGGAACCCUAGGCUUGGCUAUAGAUUUUGCUAACCUGGUGCGAAUUGGACUUGAAUUAAUCAAAUCACUGGACUGUGGUGCUUCAACAUGCAUCUCUAACAAAGAAACUCCAGAUCUGAAUCUUGAUUGUUCUUUUUGAAUUCAUUUUUCCAAUUGAUCAUCCAUUCCAAUGCACCUACUUGCAAAUUCAUGGUGCGCUGAAAUUUGCAUGUUAUCAAGAAUUGGCAUCUGAUUCAUAUGUGGGGCAAUCCCGUAUUAUAAUUUUGAUGUAGGUGGAGCUCUCCAUUUUUGUGCGAUGUUAAUCUUGUUUGAACGUGAAAGCUGUUAACAUUUUGUCAUCUUGGUUAUAUGGAGCUUGAAGUAGCUGAUGUUCACCUGGCUUCUGGCUAACAAUUUUCGAAGAAAACUGAUUUACUCUUGUGCUGGCUAUGAUUAUGUAUCUUUGGGACAUAAACCGAUAUCCCAGAGAUUACGUUGAAUAAUUUU